Molecule: ribosomal RNA, 467 nt
Filed under: uncultured bacterium
Lineage: Bacteria
Description: partial 16S ribosomal RNA
Rfam family: Bacterial small subunit ribosomal RNA
Source: RNAcentral
GACGAACGCUGGCGGCGUGCUUAACACAUGCAAGUCGAACGGAAAGGCUCCAGCUUGCUGGUGUACUCGAGUGGCGAACGGGUGAGUAACACGUGGGUAAUCUGCCCUGCACUCUGGGAUAAGCCUGGGAAACUGGGUCUAAUACUGGAUAUGACCUUUCUCCUUAUGGGGUUUGGUGGAAAGUUUUUCGGUGUAGGAUGAGCCCGCGGCCUAGCCGCUUGUUGGUGGGGUGAUGGCCUACCAAGGCGACGACGGGGAGCCGGCCUGGGAGGGUGAUCGGCCACAUUGGGACUGGGAUACGGCCCGGAGGCCUACGGGAGGAAGCAGUGGGGGAUAUUGCACACUGGGCGGAAGCAGGAUGCAGCGACGCCGCGUGAGGGAUGACGGUCGUCGGGUUGUAACCCUCUUCCAGCAGGGACGAAGCGUAAGUGACGGUACCUGCAGAAGAAGCACCGGCUAACUAUGUG